UUUGACUUUAUUAUCCCUUAAAACAUAUAUAUAUGACAAUAUGCUUCAAGUCAUGUCAAUUCACUACCUAGUGAGCUUAUGCUUGAUACAGGUGCUGCUAAAAAAAAAGUGGAACGGUAUAUUGUAGAAAGCUUACCCUGUUACCUCCUGGGGAAAAACUGAAUGUGGAGUUUGACAAUGAUGGUGUGGCUAUUGGUGAUAAUCCUUCAUUAUUUUCUUUCUUCUUGGGUCAACAAGUUCGAAAUAAAGCUGUAUGUUCUGUACAAGUUAAAUGUUGGGACGAUUAUAAAUCUAAAACAUUAGACCAUUUGUGGGCUUGCAUCACGGAGAAGUGGUCAUUUGAUGACCCUGAAAAUAGGCGGGAGUGUGUUAUGAAACAUGCACAACGUUUAUUUAGAGGUGCUAGGAGCAAAUUGAAAUCAAAGUACUUUAAUGAUAAAAACUUGAAAACAAAAUAAGAACGUCUCAAAAAUAAGCCUAGUCAUCUGACUAAAGUGGAAUGGAAGUUCUUGGUUGACUAUUGUCAAGAGGCGGUUAUGGAGAAGAGCAAAAAAGCAAGUGAAAGUAGGGCACAUCAAAAGAUUCCUCACUAUAAUGGCACUAAAAGCUUCGGUCGCACUAGACAAGAAAUAAGGAAGAAGAAUGGCGGGAAGUGUUCUCGAGUUGACGUAUUGGUUGCAACUCGUACAAGAAAAUCUGAGAAGGCUGUGAAUGCAUUAAAUUUGGCAAUAACACCCAUGCAAUAGAUGAGAUAAACAAAUUGAAGGAACAAAGAGAGCAAGGUCUUAAUGAGAAAACAGAUGAGAAAAUUAUUCAGGAUGUGCUUGGCAAAGAUACACAUGGGUAUUUGAAAGCUUAUGGACCUGGUAGAAGUAUUACGCAACAUUUUAAAGUAAAUCCCUCUCAAAUUGAUCUUACUCAAGAGGUGAAUGAAGUUAAAAAGAAAGCAGAUCAAGCAAUUGAAGAUGCAAGAAAAGAAGCUGAAAAUUCUAGAACAGAAGCAGAACAAGCUAAAUUAGAAGUUGAACAUGCCAAAAAAGAGGCGGAAGCUAUUAAGAAUGACGUGGACAGAAAAAUUGCUGAGAACAAUGCAGUUUGGGAGAAAAAGUUUAGUCAACUUCUGGAUUUUCUUGGAGCAGGAAGUUCAUCAGAUACUGAUGAUUUAGGAAGUGAAGGUUCAAAGGAAUGAAGAGAACUGAGGGAACAGGCAGCCUUGGGUCUUGGAGAGUUGAUUGAUGUAACUAGUGAGCCAGCACUGAAGGCAUUUGUUAUACCAAUAACAGGGUGACAAGGAGCGGAGCACAGACAUAUUGUCACAUUGUACAUAUAGAGUAUUUAUUGUUCUUUAGCAAAACGAUUUGAGUGUUUUUUUUUAGUAAGAGUGAGCUAGUGAUGAGACAAUGAGACAAUUGAUUUCUAGUAUGUUUGUAUGUAUGGGUAUCGAAUUCAAGUGUGUUUGAAUGUAUGGGAUUCCAAGACAUUAAUAUUACUUUUUUUUAAUGUUAUAUAAUAUAUAUAUAUAUAUCUAUUUCAAGAAUGAAAAAUAUGACAUAUUUGAGAAAAACUCCAUCUCUAAUAUUCGGUUAUGCGUAUACCAUAAAUGCUGCAAUAAAUUAAAGCUUAUGCCUAU
This is a long non-coding RNA of Chenopodium quinoa (quinoa), 1630 nucleotides long. RefSeq lists it as uncharacterized. The record is from RefSeq and is a predicted model, not a curated record. NCBI's taxonomy places the organism in Eukaryota, Viridiplantae, Streptophyta, Magnoliopsida, Caryophyllales, Amaranthaceae. The transcript is spliced from 7 exons.